Molecule: non-coding RNA, 3906 nt
Organism: Misgurnus anguillicaudatus (oriental weatherfish)
Lineage: Eukaryota; Metazoa; Chordata; Actinopteri; Cypriniformes; Cobitidae
Source: RefSeq, a predicted model, not a curated record
AUCGGUUUCGUGUGUCAAAUACAAGAAUUAAUACUACAGUACCCAUGAGCCUUAUCGACAUCUACUAUGGUGAAGGCACCAGCUAAAACUACAUGUGGGCCCGCUGCAGAUCACAAUAUUUUCUCAACACAUGAAUACUAACGUGUGCUUGAUAAUUCAACAAUACGAUGUUAUGGCCAUCAAUUUUGAUUGUUUCUACUUUGAUUGUAAAAAAAAAAAUAAGUCAGUUUCGGACGCCUGCAUUUCCCAGAAUCCUCUCUGCCUCCGUUGCUAUGGAAUCUGAGCCAGUCCUCUUUGCUAUUGGGUGAUUUCUUCUUCGGUACUCGUAAUUGACAGGGAUUCUCUCAUACGCGAAAAUCAUUGUCCAGGUAAGUCACGAUGCUUUCGUUUAAAGUUCACUAUUUGUUUAAAUGUUAUAAUUCACGCCUUUCUUUUGGCAUUACGCUGACAUUGCCAUAGCCGUACGAAAAUUAACCAUGUUUUUGUGGUAAAAGUGUAGUAACUACGGUUUGUGUAUCGAUUAUUUGCAAAAUGGUUUUACUAAACCAAACAUGGUUUAACUUUUUUUUUUCAAAUUCAUGGUUCUUUCUUAACUUGCAACCUAUCUCUAUAUAUACUGCAUCUGUUGUACCUGUCUGUCCAGCUGUGUGUUUGUCUUUCUGUCUUUGUCUGCUUUGCAAUGGCCACCAGAUAUACCCCUCACAAACAGGAUCCCCACUACCAAGAGGGGAGGCUCAUGGCUCUUGAGCUGAACCAUGACCACAUUCUAGCUGAAGCCAAGAGCAGCUGUGGAGACGAAAUGUUUAUGCCCUAGAAGAGACCCUUCACAGACCUCUAAAAGGAUCUUUGUUGGCUGGGGCAAGCCGAGGGGGAGGCAAGGAGGGUGACGCCAAGCCUCAGCUACAGGUCACUUUUACAGGUUGAGUGCUUCCUGUCAUCCAGUGUGGAGUUUCCACUUAACUGUACCCUCAGCAAAACUAAAUCCUCAUGAGGAAUUUGGUGCAGAGAGUGGUUCUGUGGGGACCGUGAUGUAUUACGUCACAAAAAACAGCCACUCCCCAAUAGGGAAUGUGUAAUUAAUAGUUUUUUUGUAGCCAUCCGUCCAACCAAAUGCAUCAUUAAAGGGGAAGAUGGAUAUUGCACUCAACACAAGGUAUGUUCUCAAAAAAGCCCUAAUUUUGAUGUUUUUAUGUGUCUGCAGCCAGUAACAGGUAAUCUAAACUAGUGGUUUUCUUUCUUUUUGGCAGUCGGCAAGAUGACAUACCACUGUUGUAAACGCACAAACGUAAUAAUGCUUUCAGGCAAACCAAUCAUUUUAAUUACCAUCAAUGGUAAAACCAAUUCACAGUUUAGAUUUCCAUUUUAGAUUUGAUGUUUUUCACACUAUGUUUUGAUGUUUUCAAUGCUGUGGCAUUGUACUUUGCAGUAGAGUCAAAGUGCAUUGUAUAGCACAUUACAAUCCAAGUAGGGCAUCGUGAGCAAGGCCUGUUGUGGGAGUCUAAAUGGGGGUCAACUGCAUGCAAUUUAUGUUUAGUUAUUAUUUAUUUAUUUUGUGAUUUUAGAUAUGUUCAUCAUUCAUCAGUUCUCACUUCCCUGGACUUCAACCUGGCUACACACAUGGUAUCGUUAUUAAUCGAAACAAAGACAGAUAUCUUUAUAUUUUUGUUCUCUGCAGACAAACAAAAAAUGUUAGCUGUUGCAAAGCAAUUUGGUGAGUUAGCAAAUGAUACUACUCGAGAAGUUAGGCAGAAGGAGUGCUAUACUGGGAUUAUAGAAACUUAUAAGAUGUCUCUUAAACAUUCACAAUGUGCAGAAUGAACUAACUGUUUUAAAAUAGUAUGUGGUAAAUGUUUUUUUUCCAAGGGCGUUUUGACUUGCCUCAGCCACUGUAUGUCUGUUAAACAUGCAAACAGCAAAGGACCCCAGACCUGAAAGACCUUUUGAGGAGUGGAUAUUGGCCAGCUUCAAUAAACAACACCACACUUUACACACUGGACCUCCUGAUCUCCUUUCAAGAACUCAAGGUCAUCUCUCCAAGAUUUUCCAGACAAGCCUUCGCAAAGCUGCUGGAGCAUCGCACGAAGUGUGGAGGAAGAUUUGGAUAUAUCAACGGCGAUGCACUGCAAUGCAGCUUCUUGGAGUUUUCAUACACUUAAUUUGAAUCAGACCAGCUCUGGUGUGGUGCUCCUUUCACCUGCCCAGCCUGAACGCUAGAAUUGUUGGCUGCUUCAGCAGAUCGAAACAGAAAGCUAUAUCGCUUUUGCCGAAACAGAAGACUGUGGCUUGCAAAUAUUGGCCAUACUUGAAGAAAGUUGCUAGUGUCCUUCCUGAUCUUCAGGAGCUGACCUCAAUGAAACCUUUCCUUAAUGUCAUGCAUGCUUGAGCCACGCUACAACGUGUGAGAUUAAAUGAAGUGGUAGGAACCAGGAAGGAACAGGGACAACCACCGGUGAGUGGAGCAAGUGAACAGCUACCUUUCACGUUGUGCCCGUACAACCAAAUAUAUGUCCAAAGCAGCACCGGUGGACAUGCUUACAUUGCAUGCAAUGGGCUGGAACCAUAAAAAAGUAUCUCUCUACAUCAGGCACUUUCCACAAUAUAUGUGAAAACAUCCAGCACGAGACUGCAAGGCUAGCAGAACUAAAAACAAAGCUACAUUGCAAAGAUGAAGUGCCGUCACAAUGGCUUUCUGAUGUGAAAGAAUGGGCAGCUGGUGCAGCAUGCUUCGCCACCGCCUUCGAAGUAAGCUGGCAGAGGACAAAAAGCUCCUUCUUCAGGAGAUACAGAAAUACAAUGAUCUUGUACUAGACUCUGCCACAAACAUCAUUGACCUAGCUUUGGUGGAGCAUUCCCUCACUGGAGAGAGCAGUGUGUCUCAGAUAUGGCCGUGCGACCUUAAUGGCAGUGCAAACAUUUCAGUCAAGAAACGAUUGCAUGACCAAGUGAUGUUGACAAUGUGACUGCAAGAGGAAAGGGGCAUUGUGGUGUUGGAGAUGGCGCAACACUACACAUGUGUGCAGAGCCUGGCAGUGGCUCUCAAGAACAAGAUGGCUGAGGAGGACAAGGGAAAUGAAGGACUUUGCUGUCUCUUAAGAAGAAGAUCGUCAGUGGUGUCAGAAGGGUUGCAAGUCGUCCUUCAACAAUACAAGACUGCAUUAGGUCUUGAGGCCUCUGUCCUUCUACAUGUUGAAGAAGAAGAUCAAAGUGACCUCAGCAGUCCAGAUACCAGCGAGGAUGAAAACAUAAUUUAGAUAGAAACUGCACAAAGGACUGCGUUUAAGGAAAUGGACUUGGCAUAUAUCUGUGUAGUGUUAGUAUGCUAACUACAUUAUUAUCUGUAUGCAUCCUAUAUUGUUGAAAUGUUCAACCUGUGUCUAGAUUAUCAAGCAUGUUAUUUAGGACGUUGAUGCUCCUUAAAUAUGCACAAACAUCUCAAUAUAGGUGUAACAAUCGUAUGAUAUUAUCAGAUGUAAUAAUUGAACUGAUGUUAUAUUUGGCUAGUGUAUUCAUAAUUUGUGUAUUUAAAGUUGCUAAUGGGCAUUGUUAGCCACAUCACAAACUCAAUGUUAAAACACUGCUUUUUGUGCUUUAUUGUGUUUAUGUACUUGCAUUGGUGCAGUAAUAUCGAUGUUAUGCAGUAAGGUCAUUGGUGUGUUUUACAAUGGCUUUGAACAGAGCUCAACCAAUCAGAAUAAUCAUUGAUAAUAAAGUAAAAGUUUUAUAACGGGUAAGUUGGUAUGAAAUAUUGUAAGCACAUUCAUCAGGAUGACUUUGCUGACCUUUUGACCUUUAUUACCACAUUUAGGCCAAACUGUGAAAACUCUACUUGAUUGAGUGUAUUAUAGGAUAUAACUGUUGUGCACCAUUGAAGAUAAACAUCAUAAAUUCUUUCUUAAAGAUGGAUAA